This 120-nucleotide small nucleolar RNA is filed under the name Echinops telfairi (small Madagascar hedgehog). Its description in RNAcentral is "Small nucleolar RNA SNORA61 (ENSETEG00000024426.1)". Lineage: Eukaryota; Metazoa; Chordata; Mammalia; Afrosoricida; Tenrecidae. The record is from RNAcentral.
UCCCUCCAGAUUCCUUACCCAUAAGAUCUGAACAUUGGUCCGAGUGGCUCUCAAAGGAGGAACAGCCAAACUGACAGGUCUUGGAGUCUUUUGUGACAUGCAAGUCUGUUUCAAACAAAC